GGGUGUGGUAUAAUGGUAGCAUGAAAGCUUCCCAAGCUUUAGACGAGGGUUCGAUUCCCUUCGCCCG
RNAcentral lists this transfer RNA (67 nucleotides) under bovine gut metagenome. It matches the Rfam family "tRNA". From Rfam's summary of the family: Transfer RNA (tRNA) molecules are approximately 80 nucleotides in length. Their secondary structure includes four short double-helical elements and three loops (D, anti-codon, and T loops). Further hydrogen bonds mediate the characteristic L-shaped molecular structure. tRNAs have two regions of fundamental functional importance: the anti-codon, which is responsible for specific mRNA codon recognition, and the 3' end, to which the tRNAs corresponding amino acid is attached (by aminoacyl-tRNA synthetases). tRNAs cope with the degeneracy of the genetic code in two manners: having more than one tRNA (with a specific anti-codon) for a particular amino acid; and 'wobble' base-pairing, i.e. permitting non-standard base-pairing at the 3rd anti-codon position. The record is from RNAcentral.